This 254-nucleotide ribosomal RNA is filed under the name uncultured bacterium. Its description in RNAcentral is "partial 16S ribosomal RNA". It matches the Rfam family "Bacterial small subunit ribosomal RNA", at positions 99 to 354 of the family's 1533-position model. The record is from RNAcentral.
CGAACGGGUGAGUAAUACAUCGGAACGUGUCCGCUCGUGGGGGACAACCAGCCGAAAGGUUGGCUAAUACCGCAUGAGUUCUACGGAAGAAAGAGGGGGACCCGCAAGGGCCUCUCGCGAGCGGAGCGGCCGAUGACUGAUUAGCCUGUUGGUGAGGUAACGGCUCACCAAAGCAACGAUCAGUAGCUGGUCUGAGAGGACGACCAGCCACACUGGGACUGAGACACGGACCAGACUCCUACGGAAGGCAGCAG